CAUUAUCUACCUAAUCAACACUAAUUAACAUAAAACCCGUAAACCUAUCUAAAUUCCCUAUACUAACCACCUAAUCUGUCCUAAACUAAUCAAAUUAGAGAGGAAUUAGAGAGACUUACCAUUGCUACGAAAUAGAAAGGAAGUGGAGAGGAAGUAGAGAGGAAAGAAAGAGUGAGCGCUCGGGAGUAUAUAUAAGAUUACUUAUCCUCGUUAUUUCCUCGUAAAGUUACGAGGAAUUUCAAAGGCCCAUGUUUUAUUGUACGAGGAAGUAGCGAGGAAUUACAAAGGUCCGUGUUUAGGUUUACGAGUUUUUUACGACGACUAAGUUUACGUGGAAUUUACGAGUCAACAUUUUACGAGGAAUUAGCGAGCCCCGCUUUUCUAUAAAUACCCGCAACUUUCCUUCCCAAACCACACACAAACUCACAAAUCACACACAAACUCACAAAUCUCACAAAUGACACCCUAUCUCAAAUCACACAACUCAGCAAAAUGCUUUUCAAAUUAGAAAUAUUUGAAAAAAAAA
Molecule: long non-coding RNA, 526 nt
Filed under: Brassica napus (rape)
Lineage: Eukaryota; Viridiplantae; Streptophyta; Magnoliopsida; Brassicales; Brassicaceae
Description: long non-coding RNA (BNAP_LNC018115)
Source: RNAcentral